This 1074-nucleotide ribosomal RNA is filed under the name Citrobacter freundii. RNAcentral describes it as "partial 23S ribosomal RNA". It matches the Rfam family "Bacterial large subunit ribosomal RNA", at positions 144 to 1258 of the family's 2925-position model. The record is from RNAcentral. Lineage: Bacteria; Pseudomonadati; Pseudomonadota; Gammaproteobacteria; Enterobacterales; Enterobacteriaceae.
CACACUAUCAUUACGUGAAUACAUAGCGUAAUGAAGCGAACCGGGGGAACUGAAACAUCUAAGUACCCCGAGGAAAAGAAAUCAACCGAGAUUCCCCCAGUAGCGGCGAGCGAACGGGGAGCAGCCCAGAGUCUGAAUCAGCUUGUGUGUUAGUGGAACGGUCUGGAAAGUCCGACGGUACAGGGUGAUAGUCCCGUACACCAAAAUGCACAGGUUGUGAACUCGAAGAGUAGGGCGGGACACGUGGUAUCCUGUCUGAAUAUGGGGGGACCAUCCUCCAAGGCUAAAUACUCCUGACUGACCGAUAGUGAACCAGUACCGUGAGGGAAAGGCGAAAAGAACCCCGGCGAGGGGAGUGAAAAAGAACCUGAAACCGUGUACGUACAAGCAGUGGGAGCCUCUUUAUGGGGUGACUGCGUACCUUUUGUAUAAUGGGUCAGCGACUUAUAUUCUGUAGCAAGGUUAACCGUAUAGGGGAGCCGAAGGGAAACCGAGUCUUAACUGGGCGUUAAGUUGCAGGGUAUAGACCCGAAACCCGGUGAUCUAGCCAUGGGCAGGUUGAAGGUUGGGUAACACUAACUGGAGGACCGAACCGACUAAUGUUGAAAAAUUAGCGGAUGACUUGUGGCUGGGGGUGAAAGGCCAAUCAAACCGGGAGAUAGCUGGUUCUCCCCGAAAGCUAUUUAGGUAGCGCCUCGUGAAUUCAUCUUCGGGGGUAGAGCACUGUUUCGGCUAGGGGGUCAUCCCGACUUACCAACCCGAUGCAAACUGCGAAUACCGAAGAAUGUUAUCACGGGAGACACACGGCGGGUGCUAACGUCCGUCGUGAAGAGGGAAACAACCCAGACCGCCAGCUAAGGUCCCAAAGUCAUGGUUAAGUGGGAAACGAUGUGGGAAGGCACAGACAGCCAGGAUGUUGGCUUAGAAGCAGCCAUCAUUUAAAGAAAGCGUAAUAGCUCACUGGUCGAGUCGGCCUGCGCGGAAGAUGUAACGGGGCUAAACCAUGCACCGAAGCUGCGGCAGCGACACUAUGUGUUGUUGGGUAGGGGAGCGUUCUGUAAGCCGUUGAAGGUG